AACGAACGCUGGCGGCAUGCCUAACACAUGCAAGUCGAACGAGACCUUCGGGUCUAGUGGCGCACGGGUGCGUAACGCGUGGGAACCUGCCCUUAGGUUCGGAAUAACUCCCCGAAAGGGGUGCUAAGACCGGAUAAUGUCUUCGGACCAAAGAUUUAUCGCCGUUGGAUGGGCCCGCGUUGGAUUAGCUAGUUGGUAGGGUAAAAGCCUACCAAGGCGACGAUCCAUAGCUGGUCUGAGAGGAUGAUCAGCCACACUGGGACUGAGACACGGCCCAGACUCCUACGGGAGGCAGCAGUGGGGAAUAUUGGACAAUGGGCGAAAGCCUGAUCCAGCCAUGCCGCGUGAGUGAUGAAGGCCUUAGGGUUGUAAAGCUCUUUUACCCGGGAUGAUAAUGACAGUACCGGGAGAAUAAGCUCCGGCUAACUCCGUG
Molecule: ribosomal RNA, 433 nt
Filed under: uncultured bacterium
Lineage: Bacteria
Description: partial 16S ribosomal RNA
Rfam family: Bacterial small subunit ribosomal RNA
Source: RNAcentral